Molecule: ribosomal RNA, 244 nt
Filed under: uncultured bacterium
Lineage: Bacteria
Description: partial 16S ribosomal RNA
Rfam family: Bacterial small subunit ribosomal RNA
Source: RNAcentral
ACCUACGGGGGGCAGCAGUGAGGAGUAUUGGUCAAUGGGCGAGAGCCUGAACCAGCCAAGUCGCGUGAGGGAAGACGGUCCUAUGGAUUGUAAACCUCUUUUGUCGGGGAGCAAGGCCCGCCACGUGUGGCGGGAAGGAGAGUACCCGAAGAAAAAGCAUCGGCUAACUCCGUGCCAGCAGCCGCGGUAAUACGGAGGAUGCGAGCGUUAUCCGGAUUUAUUGGGUUUAAAGGGUGCGUAGGCG